RNAcentral lists this ribosomal RNA (501 nucleotides) under uncultured bacterium. RNAcentral's name for it is "partial 16S ribosomal RNA". It matches the Rfam family "Bacterial small subunit ribosomal RNA", at positions 29 to 523 of the family's 1533-position model. The record is from RNAcentral.
AUUGAACGCUGGCGGCAUGCCUUACACAUGCAAGUCGAACGGCAGCACGGGUGCUUGCACCUGGUGGCGAGUGGCGAACGGGUGAGUAAUCCAUCGGAACGUACCUUAUCGUGGGGGAUAACGCAGCGAAAGCUGUGCUAAUACCGCAUACGCCCUGAGGGGGAAAGCGGGGGAUCGAAAGACCUCGCGCGAUUAGAGCGGCCGAUGCCUGAUUAGCUUGUUGGUGGGGUAAAAGCCCACCAAGGCGACGAUCAGUAGCUGGUCUGAGAGGACGAUCAGCCAAACUGGGACUGAGACACGGCCCAGACUCCUACGGGAGGCAGCAGUGGGGAAGUUUGGACAAUGGGGGCAACCCUGAUCCAGCAAUGCCGCGUGAGUGAAGAAGGCCUUCGGGUUGUAAAGCUCUUUUGUCAGGGAAGAAACACCGGCUCUAACACAGUCCGGGAAUGACGGUACCUGAAGAAUAAGCACCGGCUAACUACGUGCCAGCAGCCGCAGUAA